UAUGAAUAGAAACGUGAUAGCGAGGAGCAUAUAGUGGACAAGGUAGCGAGAAAUUUUAAAGUAUAAAAGAUAGUCUUAAUCUAUAUGUGUAAAUCACGA
Non-coding RNA from Streptococcus pneumoniae 2070335, 99 nucleotides. The record is from Rfam. Lineage: Bacteria; Bacillati; Bacillota; Bacilli; Lactobacillales; Streptococcaceae.